This is an RNA transcript of Lycium barbarum (goji berry), 2955 nucleotides long. RefSeq lists it as uncharacterized. The transcript has 3 exons. The record is from RefSeq and is a predicted model, not a curated record. NCBI's taxonomy places the organism in Eukaryota, Viridiplantae, Streptophyta, Magnoliopsida, Solanales, Solanaceae.
CUAGUUGGAGCCUAUUUUUGGGUAGAGAAGGAAGGAAGUAAAAUACCUAAUCACACCAACUGGCUCUCCCAAUUUUGUUUCAUUCUUUCACACAAAGCAUCACAUCACCACCACCCCAAAGCACGCAUUCACAAUAAUCAUUCUCUCUCUGGCGCAAGAAAAAAAGACAUGACAAUUUGCAUUAUUAUUCCCCCAAUUGAAACCACUCUUCACAUGCUUUUCCUGCUCAGGAAAUGUAUUGUUCAUCAUACUACUAUUUCUUGUUGGCCCUCCAAACCCUUGUGAUCUCUCUUUUUCAAGAUUCCACUUUCCCAUUUAUAUAUAUCUCUAUCCAUACACUUAACCUCAUCUCAUCUUCAAUAUACACAAAGCCAGCAUCUUUUGUUUUCUUCAACAUAGUGCCACUCCGGAAUGAAAAGAGCAGCGUACUACAGCUGUGUAGCCCAAAUGCAGGAUCAUUGGCCUAUCAAGAAGGCUCUGACAUUAUCUGAUGUAGAUAUCACUCAUCCAUUCCUCACUUUGUCUAGGCAACAAGUGGAGAAUCACAUUGUGUUGCAUAUGACAACAGAAGAACAGGAGCAUUUGAGAGCCCAAGGCCAAGUAGAUUUUAAUGCCCGAGAUGAUGAUACAGGUGAGAUGUAUGUGAUGAAGUUGAAAUGGCGGGGAAGCUAUUACAAUCUUAUCGGUAAGUGGGGCAGAGUUGUACGAGGGAAAGGACUUGAUGUUGGGCAAGAGAUUAAAAUACGUUGGGAAAAUGGGUGCUUACACUUCUCAGUCCCACAGCAGCAGAUUGUUGCAGUCCCACCAAUUCGGAUGGUUGCCGCACCAGUAGUGCAGGACCACUGGCCCAUUAAGAAGAUCUUGACCCUCUCUGAUGUCGACACUAAUCAUCCAUUUCUCCCUCUGCCCCGUCGAUUAGUUGAGGAUCAUAUCCUUCUGCAUUGGACACCUCAGCAACAAGAACAGCUGAGGAAGGAGGAGCAUGUGAAUGUAAAUGCCCGGGAUUAUGAUACCGGCGAAGCUUAUAUAAUGAAAUUUAAGUGGAGGGGGAAUUACUGUAACCUUAUUGGGAAAUGGGGAACAAUAAUUCGGCAGAAGGGACUUGGUGUUGGGAAAGAGAUCAGGUUGCGCUGGGCAAAUCAAUGCUUGUUCUUUUCAGUUCCCCAGGAGCGGUUUGUUGCCACAGCCUCGGGGAUGGAUAACUGGCCUAUUAAGAAGGCACUUACAUUGUCUGAUGUGGAUACCAAUCAUCCAUUUCUUACUUUGCCCGGCAAGGCUGUUGAAGAUCAUAUUCUUUUUUAUUGGUCACAGCAAGCCAGAGAACAACUGAGAAAUGAACAUCAGAUGAAUAUUAAUGCUCGAGAUGAUGACAAUGGUGAUGCCUAUUUGAUGAAGUUAAGAUGGCGGGGUAGUUAUUAUAAUCUCAUUGGAAAAUGGGGAAAAAUCAUUAGAGGGAAGAAACUUCAGGUUGGAAUGGAGAUCAGACUACACUGGGAUAAUAGAUGCUUAUUCUUCUCAGUUCCUCAGCUAUAGCAUUGCCCAACCUGUAAAUGUAGGUGAACCACCAAAUCGCUUUUCACAUUUCAUGCAUCAUUUCAACACACUGGAAAUUAAACUAUUUCAGACGAUAAUUCAUUGAAGCAAUGGCUUGGCAGAGCUGGAUUUAAAUCUAUCCAGGCAGCAAGUGACUGACCAAGCACAAAUUUUAUCAGGUGAUGCAAUGCAAUGCAACAGUUUUACUUCUUAUACUAGUCCUGUGAGGGUGUAACAAGUGGCACCUUUCCUCCUGGGAUAGUUCCACCCGUGCCUUACCUUUUGCGUGUAGUUUGGAUUGGCAAGUUGAUGUUAUAGGAUUGGUUUUUCAUUCAUUUGAGCUUUGAUAUUCCCCAUCGUUUUAUCCCAAUAUUUCCAAGUUGCUCUUAAGAUUUGAAGACAAAUUACCCCUGCUAUAGUUGAAUUCUGGUCAAUGAUGGAUUGUCUGGACUGACAGAUUGACUCUGCUGAGCCUUCUGCUGCACAUUGCUCGUAUAUAACACCAUGUUCUGUUCAGCGUUAAUAGCUAGAUGAUUCCAACUACUUGGAAGUCUUCAAGCCUGUCAUGAUCUCUAAUGAGCUGUUUCUACUGCAGUCAGUGUGACCUCUACCUUUGCUUUUGCAGAAAAAGGACAGUUGCUUUCUACCAGAUGUUUAUAAAUUGGUUCUUUAGUACAACCAAUUGGAUAUUCUUGUUUUGUGGGAAUUUCUUAUUACCAAAAGUUACUAGGAACUUCAGGAGUUUUGGGCCCUUAAAGCACAGACUCGGGAAGCCCUCGGAGCUUUCGUCUAUUGGUAAGAGCACAACACGUGAUGUGUGGAUUAGGUGCGCGUCAUGAGUUUGAACUCUGCCACAGGAAAGAGCCUAGCGUUUCAGUGGAGAAGGGUAAAUGUGUAGGUCCAUUAUCCACCGAGCUUCGGACAGUGCGCCAAUUGGCUCUCGAAGAUUUUUCGGUUAUCAACUGGAAAAAGAAGAGAUUCAGGGAGCCUAUACCUUGUGAAAUGAAAGGGUAUAUAAUUUUUGCAGUCGGGAACUGGUAAAGCUGGGUAUCAGAAAGUGACUGCAGCAUAGGAGUUAUUUUCUGUCAUUAGUCUGCUGAAACUGAAAGCACUAGACCCGAACACAGGGCUUGAUCAAAUUGCUUCUCUGGCUGCAAGAGUUUUUGACAUUUGCUGAUGUAUCCAAGUAAGCUACAAGCUUCAUUAAAGUGACUGUUACGCGGCCGGCAGCUGCUGUUGAUUCUGUAUGUUUCCUUAAGUAGUGAUACUUUCUAGAUCAUGAUAUAGUUGGGGAAUCUUUCAUUUGUCAUAUUGAUAUGAUCCGGAAUGGCUCUGUCACGACCCGACUAGGGGCCGUGACGAGUACCCGAUACUUGUACCGAGCACUCCUUAUCUAUCAUAUUACCUUUACCUCUUAACAAA